Molecule: ribosomal RNA, 462 nt
Filed under: uncultured Allobrachymonas sp.
Lineage: Bacteria; Pseudomonadati; Pseudomonadota; Betaproteobacteria; Burkholderiales; Comamonadaceae
Description: bacterial SSU rRNA
Rfam family: Bacterial small subunit ribosomal RNA
Source: RNAcentral
UUGACGGGACCGCACAGCGGUGGAUGAUGUGGUUUAAUUCGAUGCAACGCGAAAACCUUACCCACCUUUGACAUGGCAGGAAUCCCGAAGAGAUUGGAGUGCUCGAAAGAGAACCUGCACACAGGUGCUGCAUGGCUGUCGUCAGCUCGUGUCGUGAGAUGUUGGGUUAAGUCCCGCAACGAGCGCAACCCUUGCCAUUAGUUGCUACGAAAGGGCACUCUAAUGGGACUGCCGGUGACAAACCGGAGGAAGGUGGGGAUGACGUCAAGUCCUCAUGGCCCUUAUAGGUGGGGCUACACACGUCAUACAAUGGCCGGUACAGAGGGUAGCCAACCCGCGAGGGGGAGCCAAUCCCACAAAGCCGGUCGUAGUCCGGAUCGCAGUCUGCAACUCGACUGCGUGAAGUCGGAAUCGCUAGUAAUCGCGGAUCAGCAUGUCGCGGUGAAUACGUUCCCGGGUCUU